This 219-nucleotide ribosomal RNA is filed under the name Chloroflexota bacterium. Its description in RNAcentral is "Chloroflexi bacterium (rhizosphere metagenome) partial 16S ribosomal RNA". It matches the Rfam family "Bacterial small subunit ribosomal RNA", at positions 1 to 240 of the family's 1533-position model. Lineage: Bacteria; Bacillati; Chloroflexota. The record is from RNAcentral.
GUGAUGACGAGUUUGAUCCUGGCUCAGGAUCAACGCUGGCGGCGUGCCUAAUGCAUGCAAGUCGCACGAACGUCCUUCGGGACGUUAGUGGCGAACGGCUGAGGAACACGUGCGUACCUGCCUGUUCGUGGGGAAUACCGGGUGGAAACACCCGCUAAUACCGCGUACGCUCCUGCGGGAGGAAAGCCUUCGGGCGCGGACAGUGGGGCGCGCGGCCCA